Molecule: long non-coding RNA, 403 nt
Filed under: Scleropages formosus (Asian bonytongue)
Lineage: Eukaryota; Metazoa; Chordata; Actinopteri; Osteoglossiformes; Osteoglossidae
Description: lncRNA (ENSSFOG00015025113.1)
Source: RNAcentral
AUCCACCUUAAUGCUGGAGGAACAUGGGCAUUUGGAUGACGCCGGACUGGAUGGACAAGAUGAUCAUCUCUUCAGGGUGCCGUCGAUUCGGCGUCAACUCAUGGCGACUCUGUGGAUCAUUGUCCUGGUCUUCCGCCAACCGGCUAAGACUUGAAAGCGGGCCAUCCGUGGCUGCGGUGCCUACGUCGAUCCACCGAAUAGCUGGCCUUCCUCUUCUACGUUGACCUUCCUCUCCGCCCAGCAUGAUGUCCGUUUCCAUUGGCCGCUCUUCCCGCAUGAUGUGUCCGAAGUAAGAGGGUCGAAGCCGUGUCGUCCGAGCUGCCGGUGAUGUCUUUGCUUCGAUCUUCUGCAAUACCCACAUAUUUGUUUUCAGGGCCGUCCCGGGUAAACGCAAGAUUCUUUG